This 1375-nucleotide ribosomal RNA is filed under the name uncultured bacterium. Its description in RNAcentral is "bacterial SSU rRNA". It matches the Rfam family "Bacterial small subunit ribosomal RNA", at positions 28 to 1381 of the family's 1533-position model. The record is from RNAcentral.
GAUGAACGCUGGCGGCGUGCCUAAUACAUGCAAGUCGAGCGAACGGACGAGAAGCUUGCUUCUCUGAUGUUAGCGGCGGACGGGUGAGUAACACGUGGAUAACCUACCUAUAAGACUGGGAUAACUUCGGGAAACCGGAGCUAAUACCGGAUAAUAUUUUGAACCGCAUGGUUCAAAAGUGAAAGACGGUCUUGCUGUCACUUAUAGAUGGAUCCGCGCUGCAUUAGCUAGUUGGUAAGGUAACGGCUUACCAAGGCAACGAUGCAUAGCCGACCUGAGAGGGUGAUCGGCCACACUGGAACUGAGACACGGUCCAGACUCCUACGGGAGGCAGCAGUAGGGAAUCUUCCGCAAUGGGCGAAAGCCUGACGGAGCAACGCCGCGUGAGUGAUGAAGGUCUUCGGAUCGUAAAACUCUGUUAUUAGGGAAGAACAUAUGUGUAAGUAACUGUGCACAUCUUGACGGUACCUAAUCAGAAAGCCACGGCUAACUACGUGCCAGCAGCCGCGGUAAUACGUAGGUGGCAAGCGUUAUCCGGAAUUAUUGGGCGUAAAGCGCGCGUAGGCGGUUUUUUUAAGUCUGAUGUGAAAGCCCCACGGCUCAACCCGUGGAGGGUCAUUGGAAACGGGAAAACUUGAGUGCAGAAGAGGAAAGUGGAAUUCCAUGUGUAGCGGUGAAAUGCGCAGAGAUAUGGAGGAACACCAGUGGCGAAGGCGACUUUCUGGUCUGUAACUGACGCUGAUGUGCGAAAGCGUGGGGAUCAAACAGGAUUAGAUACCCUGGUAGUCCACGCCGUAAACGAUGAGUGCUAAGUGUUAGGGGGUUUCCGCCCCUUAGUGCUGCAGCUAACGCAUUAAGCACUCCGCCUGGGGAGUACGACCGCAAGGUUGAAACUCAAAGGAAUUGACGGGGACCCGCACAAGCGGUGGAGCAUGUGGUUUAAUUCGAAGCAACGCGAAGAACCUUACCAAAUCUUGACAUCCUUUGACAACUCUAGAGAUAGAGCCUUCCCCUUCGGGGGACAAAGUGACAGGUGGUGCAUGGUUGUCGUCAGCUCGUGUCGUGAGAUGUUGGGUUAAGUCCCGCAACGAGCGCAACCCUUAAGCUUAGUUGCCAUCAUUAAGUUGGGCACUCUAAGUUGACUGCCGGUGACAAACCGGAGGAAGGUGGGGAUGACGUCAAAUCAUCAUGCCCCUUAUGAUUUGGGCUACACACGUGCUACAAUGGACAAUACAAAGGGCAGCGAAACCGCGAGGUCAAGCAAAUCCCAUAAAGUUGUUCUCAGUUCGGAUUGUAGUCUGCAACUCGACUACAUGAAGCUGGAAUCGCUAGUAAUCGUAGAUCAGCAUGCUACGGUGAAUACGUUCCCGGGUCU